RNAcentral lists this ribosomal RNA (382 nucleotides) under uncultured bacterium. RNAcentral describes it as "bacterial SSU rRNA". It matches the Rfam family "Bacterial small subunit ribosomal RNA", at positions 30 to 426 of the family's 1533-position model. The record is from RNAcentral.
AUUGAACGCUGGCGGCAGGCUUAACACAUGCAAGUCGAGCGGAGACUUCGGUCUUAGCGGCGAACGGGUAAGGAAUGCCUGGGAAUCUGCCUGUUAGUGGGGGAUAACGAAUCGAAAGGUUCGCUAAUACCGCAUACGUCCUACGGGAGAAAGCAGGGGACCUUCGGGCCUUGCGCUAACAGAUGAGCCCAGGUCGGAUUAGCUAGUAGGUGGGGUAAAGGCUCACCUAGGCGACGAUCCGUAGCUGGUCUGAGAGGAUGAUCAGCCACACUGGAACUGAGACACGGUCCAGACUCCUACGGGAGGCAGCAGUGGGGAAUAUUGGACAAUGGGCGAAAGCCUGAUCCAGCCAUGCCGCGUGUGUGAAGAAGGCCUCGGUUGU